This 496-nucleotide ribosomal RNA is filed under the name uncultured bacterium. RNAcentral describes it as "partial 16S ribosomal RNA". It matches the Rfam family "Bacterial small subunit ribosomal RNA", at positions 29 to 507 of the family's 1533-position model. The record is from RNAcentral.
AUGAACGCUGGCGGCGUGCCUAAUACAUGCCAGUCGAGCGCACAGACGAGGAGCUUGCUCCUCUGACGUUAGCGGCGGACGGGUGAGUAACACGUGGAUAACCUACCUAUAAGACUGGGAUAACUUCGGGAAACCGGAGCUAAUACCGGAUAACAUGUUGAACCGCAUGGUUCAACAGUGAAAGACGGUCUUGCUGUCACUUAUAGAUGGAUCCGCGCCGCAUUAGCUAGUUGGUAAGGUAACGGCUUACCAAGGCAACGAUGCGUAGCCGACCUGAGAGGGUGAUCGGCCACACUGGAACUGAGACACGGUCCAGACUCCUACGGGAGGCAGCAGUAGGGAAUCUUCCGCAAUGGGCGAAAGCCUGACGGAGCAACGCCGCGUGAGUGAAGAAGGUCUUCGGAUCGUAAAACUCUGUUAUUAGGGAAGAACAAAUGUGUAAGUAACUAUGCACGUCUUGACGGUACCUAAUCAGAAAGCCACGGCUAACUACGUG